This 253-nucleotide ribosomal RNA is filed under the name uncultured bacterium. RNAcentral describes it as "partial 16S ribosomal RNA". It matches the Rfam family "Bacterial small subunit ribosomal RNA", at positions 524 to 776 of the family's 1533-position model. The record is from RNAcentral.
UACGUAGGCAGCGAGCGUUGUUCGGAGUUACUGGGCGUAAAGGGCGCGUAGGCGGCCCGCUAAGUCGAACGUGAAAUCCCCGAGCUCAACUCGGGAACUGCGUCCGAUACUGGCGGGCUUGAAUCCGGGAGAGGGAUGCGGAAUUCCAGGUGUAGCGGUGAAAUGCGUAGAUAUCUGGAGGAACACCGGUGGCGAAGGCGGCAUCCUGGACCGGCAUUGACGCUGAGGCGCGAAAGCUAGGGGAGCAAACGGG